UAGUCACAAAGUUUUCAAAGAACACAUAAUAUAUAUGUGAGAAAUGUAGAUCAAAAAACUGUUUGAGAUCAAUUGACUCUGCAUUCUCGAUGAGGACGCGCAGAUGCUUGAGGCGGGUGAGCGGGUCCUUGCGGGUGUCCAGCACCUUCUGCGUGGACUUCCGCACAUCCCCGUGCGGCUUCUUGGAGAACAUCCCGUCGGGCCCGGCCCCGGCGCCGCGCUCCAGAGGCGGGCAGCGGCCUCCGGAUCCGCCCGCACCGGGGCCCUACAUAGCCGGCGGCGGCGCCGCCUCCUCCUCCUCCUGCUGCCGCCUCCGGCGGGGCGGAGCGCGGCGGGGCGGGGGGGCGCAGAGCCAACUCCCCGCGGGCCAGGGGGUGGCCCGGGCCUGGACUCCCCCCUUCCUCCUUCCCUCGUUCUCCUCCCGCUGCUUCACGACAGCCGUCAGGUGCGACCCCAGGCGUCGCUAUGGCAACCGCGCCGUGACGUCACGGCGGCGCUACCCGGCGCACCUCCGGGGCGCGGCGGGCGGAGGCCGCGGCUGUGUGGAAAACGUGGGGGCGCGGCCUGCCGGGGCUUCUGGCAGGGGGGUGCCAGGAGGGGGUGGAGAGUGGAAACCCAGCAGCAGUAACUGGGGCGACGCGCUGCCGUUCAGCUCUUUAAAAGUGCAGUAUAAAGUUAUCUGAUGAUUCGGGUGCUGCUGACUGUAUUACACCAAGAAACUGAAAUGGUGCACGAGAGGAAUCCCGCAGAGGACGCAGAAAUAAAAUCCAGGCCUGGACCAUAUUGGUGGAGGCCGUGGCUCCAAAGCUUAUAACCAAGCUCCAGUUGAGCAACAGUCAACGAUCAGCGAGCGCCCCACAGUUAUUUCCACACCGUGCUCGGAGUGCUGCAAUGCCUCACCCAGCCCCGCCGGGCCGCUCAGCACCGCCCGUGUUCCUGGCAGCACGAGGACACCCAGGGCGGGCCAACAGCAUCCAGCGUGAUGCUCCGCAGUGUGGUCCCGGCCUCGGCACUGCGCGCCUCGGGACACGCGGACCCAUGCUGGUCCUGGAGCAGAGUGAGACGCAGCCUCCGCAGGCCAUGCUUGUCAGGUCACAGUGAGGCCAGCAAGCAGCCGGCACUACGUGCUGUGUGCCACGUGAGCGCUGCUGCUGAGGGCUGAACUCAUCGUGCUGGAGAAGACCGAAGGUUUUCCUAAAAUCCCGAUGCUGGUUUACAAUCAUCAAAUAUAUAAAACAACGAGUUAUUGGACUUUUCAAUAGAACUGCAUUGUUUAUUUAACACGUGGUUUCUAGUGGCCUUCUGCUCUUUUUUUUUUUUUUUUGUUGUUGUUUUGCUUUGUUUUGUUUAAAAAGUCCCCGAUGCUUGAGUCUGUAUCAAGGAAACCCAGUUCCUCCAGUGAUGAGUGACUACAACAGCUGCAGCGUUUAAUAUAAGGAAUACUUAACUGUUUGAGACAUUAUAAAAUCAUUAGAGUUGUCAACAGAUUGAAGAAUAUAUGUACUACUGGAGUAACGUAAGCAUUUCAAUGCAUGACCCAUCAGUGACUAUCAUGAGCAGUAGGGCAGUGGGUUUCAGCCAACAUUAGGGAGUCAGUGCCAUCUGCUGAUGCAGUGUGCCACAAAUCAUUUCACAAUUCCAUCAUCCUGCUAAAUGAGAUCUGAGGAUUAGUGAUGUUAUCUAACAGCUACAAUUACAACAAUUUAUUUUACCAUAGCAGUGAAUUUAUCUCUGAAAGACCUGAUAACUCUACUAUAAACUAAGUGCUUUGUUUUCUACACAUUAUCAGUUCUAAACAUAAGGUUGUAUCUUGACAACCUUCAAGAACACCUUUGCUUUAUAGAAUUGACUUGCAUUUCUGGUAAUUUUUUAGGACUUUAAUUCAAGAUAGUGCUUAAAAAUAACGAACGGAAUAAGAUGUCACCAAAGUGGUAAAUGAAAGGAGGGAGUGGUUUUAACCAAGUUAAUAAUGGCUUCUACAGAGAACCUCCUCACUGAAAGCACACUGGGCAGGAAGAGCACGUUCUGUGCACAGUUAAGGCUGUGAUCUUGCAAAAGCUUGACUUUGAAGCAUGUGACUUCAAUGACUUUCAUUACGUGUGGAGGACAAAGUUAGAAAAUAGCAGGAUUAGUUAGGGGGAGGGGUUAGGUUGUACUACAUUCCAAGUGGAAUGUAGCGCCCGUGCUUCAGUAUUUGUUUGUGAACUAUCCUGAGUUAACAAUUUUUAGUUAACUUGACUGGCAACUAUUUACUUUGAGAAAAAAAAGACUCCCAAAUCUAAA
Molecule: long non-coding RNA, 2283 nt
Filed under: Gallus gallus (chicken)
Lineage: Eukaryota; Metazoa; Chordata; Aves; Galliformes; Phasianidae
Source: RNAcentral